This 437-nucleotide ribosomal RNA is filed under the name uncultured bacterium. RNAcentral's name for it is "bacterial SSU rRNA". It matches the Rfam family "Bacterial small subunit ribosomal RNA", at positions 355 to 787 of the family's 1533-position model. The record is from RNAcentral.
UGGGGAAUAUUGCACAAUGGGGGAAACCCUGAUGCAGCGACGCCGCGUGAGCGAGGAAGUAUUUCGGUAUGUAAAGCUCUGUCAGCAGGGAAGAAGAGAGUUGAAAUACACUCUCCAAUGACGGUACCUGAAGAAGAAGCACCGGCUAAAUACGUGCCAGCAGCCGCGGUAAUACGUAUGGUGCAAGCGUUAUCCGGAUUUACUGGGUGUAAAGGGAGCGCAGGCGGUCCUGCAAGUCUGGUGUGAAAGCCCGGGGCUCAACCCCGGUACUGCAUUGGAAACUGAUCGGACUAGAGUGUCGGAGGGGUAAGUGGAAUUCCUAGUGUAGCGGUGAAAUGCGUAGAUAUUAGGAGGAACACCAGUGGCGAAGGCGGCUUACUGGACGAUUACUGACGCUGAGGCUCGAAAGCGUGGGGAGCAAACAGGAUUAGAUACCC